UCAAAACAAAGCGCAGCCGCAGCAAGCAGAAGCAGGGGCGGGAAAGAAACAACCAUGGCAGAGCCGCAGAGGCCUUCAAAGAUGAUUCCAUCUUAUCUCUGUUUAACAAAAGCUAUCGUUUUCUCCGCAUGUUUGUGGCUGGACAUUUAAACAAGCACCUUGCCUCCAUAAGCAACUUUCCCUGACAAAUGACCUGAUAGGCCCAUUGGAUGCAGUUCCAUUGAUCUCUAUCUGCCGGAAGCCUCAAAAUAUUAGAGAACAAAGGCCCUGCAUUGAUGGAAAUGAAGAACUGAAGAAAUCGGAAAUGCUUGAGGUUUCCUGAAAUUGGUUGCUGCUUACGGGUGAUGUCAUCUGACUGCAUAAUAUGAAUCCAAAGUACCAUUUAGUAUGAAAGCGUAAUGAUUUUCCAAUCAUCUUAGGUCCCAGAAGCUUUCUAGAUGGCGUUGAAAAGUCGAUAAGCAGGUUACUUCAAGCAAGCAAAGUCCUUAAUUUGCCAUGUCCAAUAUUGGGCAGUGCUGGAGUAAUCAAUGGCUAAGGUACUAAUUUCAUGCUUCUAAUCUUUUUUUACCUGCCUAAUUAAGUUCUUUAAAAAAUGAUUUUCUAGUCUUUCUAUGUGCUUUUCAAAAGGUAUUGGUCCCGUCAUUUAAUAUAUAAAAUAUUUGUGGGGCAAUUGACAUGCUUUUUCUACGCGAAACAAUUUUGAAGUUUUGACUUUUCAGCUGUCAAAAGUUGACAUUUGACUAUGUAGGGGUUGGUAUGCCUCGAGAAUUCUUGGUUAGUACACACUGAGAAAAUAAAAUUCAUCACACUACCAAACUUUUACUCAAUCACGGUUAAAGUUAAAGUUUAAAUAUGUGAUAUGUAAAAAUUCUCUGUUUUGAAGUGCAACUAUAUGGUAAACUUUGUGAUGUCUUCUUUUUUUUUUUUUUUUUUUAAUUUUUUCUAACUUUUUGGUCUCAUGGAGAAGAAAAACUAACUACUGCAACUCAGUUGCUUGUCAAGUAUGAGUCUUUAAUUUAUGGUCAACCGAGUUGCUUUUUAUUGCAUUUGAUGUGAGUGUGCAAGUGGCCUAACAACUACAAUAAUAAUGCAAGUGAAAUUUCUUUAACUUUUCUCUAGGAGAAAGUUUGGAUUUGAAUUCUCAUCGUCGCAUACUGUGUAUUAUAAGUAAUCAACUUAAGUGAGUGUUUAAAUUCUUUGGAAAAAAAAAGUGAGUGUUUAAAUUUGAUGAAAAAGUAAAGAUAGAUUAACUUAGUUAGGCCUCAAAUUGAAUUCUCCCUGCAAAUUAUAAUAUUGCUUUAAGUCAAUAGGCUUAUCAACGGAGAUCUCCAUAUAUUUACUUGGUCGUCAAAUUCAUCCAUGAACGUGUUAGUGAUUUUAGCAUAUAAUGGGAUCACCUGCAAGUUACUUAUUUAUUUAUGUUUUCCACUAAGAGGGUUCCUCUUUACUUCAAAUAUUGGUGCAUAUUUUUAAUUACCAAAUAUAUUAUGUUUCAUUUUCCCAUGAUUACUAUCCCAUUAUAAUUGACAGUGGAAUUAAAAGCCUUCUUGCUCCUAUCUAGGCAUGCCAAAUCUUUUUACCUGGCACUAAUUUGUGGUGUACAGUGAUUUGGGUAUUUUCUAUAUAUUAUAAUCUCACUUUCUUUUGGUCAUCAGCCACAAUCUACUAAUUAGUGACUUCAUAAUCAGUGACCUUAUAGAAUCACUGUUUAAAUGUCUAAACCUUCUAUUUCUAUUUCUCCUUUAAAGAAUUAAUAUUUUCUUCAUCCCUUAUGAAUCAAAGUGUUGAAACGUGACUAAUUUUAGAAUUGACAUAGCUCAAUUUUAAUUUUUGUUUUAUUUAAACAUACUCAUAAUUAUGAAUA
Molecule: long non-coding RNA, 1864 nt
Organism: Hevea brasiliensis (rubber tree)
Lineage: Eukaryota; Viridiplantae; Streptophyta; Magnoliopsida; Malpighiales; Euphorbiaceae
Exons: 3
Source: RefSeq, a predicted model, not a curated record